RNAcentral lists this ribosomal RNA (216 nucleotides) under Salmonella enterica. Its description in RNAcentral is "partial 23S ribosomal RNA". It matches the Rfam family "Bacterial large subunit ribosomal RNA", at positions 1 to 208 of the family's 2925-position model. RNAcentral also lists the same sequence under 2 other names. The record is from RNAcentral. Lineage: Bacteria; Pseudomonadati; Pseudomonadota; Gammaproteobacteria; Enterobacterales; Enterobacteriaceae.
GGGUUGUGAGGUUAAGCGACUAAGCGUACACGGUGGAUGCCCUGGCAGUCAGAGGCGAUGAAGGGCGUGCUAAUCUGCGAUAAGCGCCGGUAAGGUGAUAUGAACCGUUAUAACCGGCGAUACCCGAAUGGGGAAACCCAGUGUGAUUCGUCACACUAUCAUUAACUGAAUCCAUAGGUUAAUGAGGCGAACCGGGGGAACUGAAACAUCUAAGUA